CUACCUUGACUAGUAUGAUAGGACCAUUCACCAAAAUGCCUUAUUUCUGCCGUCUUCUCAUGAUCUUUAUGUUGCAAUUAUUUGUGUGGGGUUCUUCGGGGCAAUAUGUGCUGUACUGAAAUAAUGAAACAAUGAACUUGAUCCCUCUCCAGUACUUGUGAGAAGGUUGGAAUUUAUUGACAUUGUGGAGAAAUCUUGAAUUCCAUUUCCUUUUUUUUCCCUAUUUUAUUUUUUAUUCAUAUAAAUAUAAAUUUUUUUUAAAGAACAAUUGUUAGAUUAGGGUAUUUUAUAUAAUAACAGUAUUUUAUAAGAGUAUACAUGCAAAUAUCAAUUUUGAAAGGGUAUUCAUACGAAAUUCGAUAUUUAGAAAGAUAUUCAUGCAAAAAAAAAUUAUUUAUUUAUCUUUUGGUGUAACUGACUAUUUAUAUACGACACGGGCAUGAGAACCAUGCAUUCGUGCUUGAGCUGGAUCAAACCAUGCAGGGCAUCUACCUGCACCAUAUUACU
RNAcentral lists this long non-coding RNA (507 nucleotides) under Phoenix dactylifera (date palm). RNAcentral describes it as "long non-coding RNA (PDAC_LNC022966)". The record is from RNAcentral. Lineage: Eukaryota; Viridiplantae; Streptophyta; Magnoliopsida; Arecales; Arecaceae.